AAAAACAUGUAGAAUAUCAUAUGUAAGCAAGUAUAUUUCUCCUUUUUUUUCUUUCUUUUUUUUUUUAUCAAGAAGCAAAGACAAAAAGGGGAAAAAAAGAAACAGGGCAGAGUUCAGUGGUUGAAUCAUCCGUCCCCACCAAUGCCAAAACCAAAUCUACGCCCUUGCAUCGGUGCAAAUUAUAAGUCCGUAUCAUAAUGUCUGUUGUUUUCGUGUUUGUUGGUUUGUUUUUAUGUUUUUUUAAUUUAGCGAGUUGGUUAUUAGAUGCCGCUUCAGCCAGCCAGUGAAUCCUCCGCCGCCCAGCCCUUGCGCACCUCGCAAACGGAGGGCGCCCUUACUCCCAGCAAUUGGGCGAUAGAAAACCGAUCGGCGCCUAUGCCAUUCCCAAUAUGCGCUGGCAUGACGUCGGGGCAGCAUGAGUACCAGUAAAAAAAAAAAAAAAAUUUUUGCCGAUGCCCGUGAUGCCGCCCCGGACAACCGCCCGCGUCGUCCGUAUCAAAAACCGCUACUGCAGUCACAACAGGAUAACUUUAAAUUAAUGUUAACAAUGUCAUUACCAUUACACUGUCAGCUUUAAUAAGUAUUUUAACAAUGAAUCAACAUUUAUUUGAAGACUGAGAUUUAAAUCUUGACCAUAUUGAUAAUCCUGUUAAAGAAUCACCAUUAAUUUAAUGUGAUUUUGCGAUCUGAGUUAGGAUGUUUCAACACUUCUAAAGUGCAGUGAUUUUGAAACACUGCUCAAAGUGCAGUUAAGACCGCCUUUAUGACGGUUCUCAGAUCAGUAUCAUUUUUCACUUAAUUUUUUUAUGAGCACGUAUAUACAGUGAAAAUUCCAGAAGACUCAGACAUCUAGAAAAAACAAAGAGUCAGAUCAGCAGAACUCGAGAACACAGACAUGUCUCCUGUAACUGCGACACUCUGCGGGACUCUGCUGUGUUUCAGCGUCUUUGUGUUUGUAUCUGCAGACCUGAAAAUGAUCACAGCUGAAUCUGGACAGGACGUCACUCUGACAUGUCGAGCUCCAGACAACAACAUCAAUACUUUAGAGUGGAGCAGAGCUGACCUGGGAGAUAAGAAUGUCUAUUUGUACCAGAAUGGCCACUUCGAACCAGAUCACCAGCAUCCAUCUGUUAGGAACCGGGUGGAUCUGCAGAACAGAGAGAUGAUGGAUGGAGACGCGUCUUUGAUUCUGAAGGAUGUGAUGAUUGGUGACACUGGAACAUACGAGUGUCGUGUCAACAUGGAAGGAAAAAACCGCAAGGACGCUAAACCCGUCAGUGUCUUCUACCUCCAUGUUGAUCCCCCAGGAGCACACAAAGAAAUUGAACCUGUUAAAACUGACCCUCCACGUGUUGAUCCUCCAGCUCAGACAGGAGGAUCUGGUGGACUGAAAGCUGGUCUGGUAGUUCCUGCUGUGCUUCUUGUUGCUACUGUUGUUGGUUUUUGAAAAGAAACACCAACAACAGCAGCAACAAGAAGAAAACAGUCUCGAGGUUCAAAUGAGCGUUCUGGUGAACAACAGAGCGGACAACCUCUUCAGACUUAAGAUCAUCAACCAAUAAACAUCAUAGACGUCAAACACUCAGAGUUUGGAUUUCUUUCUCAUUUCUCUGAUGAUCAUCAUGUUUAGACUCAGACCAACAGUGUGUGUCUGUGCUGUCUGUCAGUGACCCUGAACUACAGUUUAUUCAUCUUCAUGUUGUUCAUGAGAUUUACUGACACAAAGUCAAACUGUGUUACAAACAUAAAUGAAUUUAUAUGAUAUUAUCUCAGAAUAUAUGCAUGUUUUGUUUUUUAGCUUCAUGUUCAGUGGCUGGUUGUAAGAAAAACUAAAGAUCAGCUGUUACAGUAUAAUUGUUGUUCUGUGAAUUAUAGACUAUUAAUAAUCUGGCUCAUUGUUCAGCUACAACCACUUUGUUUGACAUUACUUAUUAUUCUCUUUUUGUAUAAAAUUUUGAAUUUUACAGCUUACGGAGCAAAAUUGUGUAAAAGUAAAAAUUUGUGUAGUUACAGACUCAUAUUUCUUCUCUGAUCCUGAACCUUUCUAACCCCUUUCAUUUAACAUUUCCUCCAGUGAAUCUUUGUAAAUCCAAAUUUCUUCAUCUAUGUUAAUAAAGAUUUACAUUUAUACCUGCUCAAGGUUUUCCAGUGUUUCUGUCAUUUGAAGGUUUUGAUUUAAUUUCUGUUUAUUAUUUUGUUACAAACUUGUCAUCAAUUAGCGAGACAGAAGCUAAGCUCGUUGCAACAUGGCAACUGCCUCAACGCGACAUGAAAUUGAACCUCCCCCACCCUCAUUCAGAUCUGGCAUUUGGAACUAUCUUGGUUUUCAUGUGAAGCAUGACCCUGAUGGUAAGCGCGUCAUGGACAAAAGUAAAACAGUAUGUUGGAUGUGCCACGCAAUGCUCAAUUUGUGGGAACUAGUGCGUUAGCGCAGUUAGCUUGUUAACGUGUUAAUGCCGUCCAGCCCCACGCACGGGGCGAUCUGCGGUAACUUGUUAAGGGAGAUUUACCGCGUUAUGGCGUUAAUGUCAUUUUAACGAGAUUAACGCUGACAGCACUAGUGGGAACACAAUGAAUAUGACUGCACAUUUACGCCGACAUCAUCCUAGUGCAAAGACAAGUGGAAGCAGACAAAAACAACAAGCAUGCAUGCUACAAACUUUACCCGAGUCAUUUAGACAGCCGUCAGCACAUGAUUCUCCUUAUGGGGACCUGAUAUGUUUAAUAUGCUGCUGAGAAUAUACCCCAGAAGAAGCGUAUAGUAUAGCUUUUAUUUUGGAAAGAGCCAUUUCUCUGUAAUAAACUCUCUUUUCCAAAGAUGAGUGACUUCUCG
Molecule: long non-coding RNA, 2833 nt
Organism: Oreochromis aureus
Lineage: Eukaryota; Metazoa; Chordata; Actinopteri; Cichliformes; Cichlidae
Source: Ensembl